This 244-nucleotide unclassified non-coding RNA is filed under the name plant metagenome. Its description in RNAcentral is "partial contains small subunit ribosomal RNA, internal transcribed spacer 1, and 5.8S ribosomal RNA". The record is from RNAcentral.
UUUCCGUAGGUGAACCUGCGGAAGGAUCAUUACCGAAUUUACAACUCCCAAACCCAAUGUGAACCAUACCAAACUGUUGCCUCGGCGGGGUCACGCCCCGGGUGCGUCGCAGCCCCGGAACCAGGCGCCCGCCGGGGGGACCAACCAAACUCUUUCUGUAGUCCCCUCGCGGACGUUAUUUUUACAGCUCUGAGCAAAAAUUCAAAAUGAAUCAAAACUUUCAACAACGGAUCUCUUGGUUCUG